CUACGGGCUGCUGCAGUGGGGAAUAUUGCACAAUGGGCGCAAGCCUGAUGCAGCCAUGCCGCGUGUAUGAAGAAGGCCUUCGGGUUGUAAAGUACUUUCAGCGGGGAGGAGGGGAGUAAAGUUAAUACCUUUGCUCAUUGACGUUACCCGCAGAAGAAGCACCGGCUAACUCCGUGCCAGCAGCCGCGGUAAUACGGAGGGUGCAAGCGUUAAUCGGAAUUACUGGGCGUAAAGCGCACGCAGGCGGUUUGUUAAGUCAGAUGUGAAAUCCCCGGGCUCAACCUGGGAACUGCAUCUGAUACUGGCAAGCUUGAGUCUCGUAGAGGGGGGUAGAAUUCCAGGUGUAGCGGUGAAAUGCGUAGAGAUCUGGAGGAAUACCGGUGGCGAAGGCGGCCCCCUGGACGAAGACUGACGCUCAGGUGCGAAAGCGUGGGGAGCAAACAGGAUUAGAUACCCGCGUAGUC
RNAcentral lists this ribosomal RNA (464 nucleotides) under uncultured bacterium. Its description in RNAcentral is "partial 16S ribosomal RNA". It matches the Rfam family "Bacterial small subunit ribosomal RNA", at positions 339 to 795 of the family's 1533-position model. The record is from RNAcentral.